GGGGAUGUUUUGGUUUCGACGGGUGCGCACGUAGCAGGCUGCGUGUCAAGCUCCCCCGUAUCGCUUGCGAAUCUCGCGGGGAACCCAUAACUGCGAACGACUACUCGUACGCGCUCGCCGCGUAAGGACACCAACCCUCCUUACGCCUGCGGGCUGUCUCUACGUCCAAGUUCCUGACCGGGGACGAUAGAGGCAUGGUCUAUGUCAGGAUGGACGCUGCGGCCCGGAUCGGGCAACGGGCGUCGAGAACCAACCGAUCUGCUGCACGGCUGGCCAUGACCGAGGGCGUCCGCCGUGCCUAAGACCAAACUCGGUCUACACAUCGUAGACGCCUGAUCUGGCGACGCAUUCGGACCCGAGUUCGAAUCUCGGCAUCUCCACUU
Molecule: transfer-messenger RNA, 383 nt
Filed under: Rhodothermales
Lineage: Bacteria; Pseudomonadati; Rhodothermota; Rhodothermia
Also listed under: 1 other name
Description: BA12 sp014879465 Standard tmRNA
Rfam family: transfer-messenger RNA
About the family: Bacterial tmRNA, also known as 10Sa RNA or SsrA, is named for its dual tRNA and mRNA-like properties. Its role is to liberate the mRNA from a stalled ribosome.
Source: RNAcentral